This is a long non-coding RNA of Canis lupus familiaris (dog), 422 nucleotides long. RefSeq lists it as uncharacterized. The record is from RefSeq and is a predicted model, not a curated record. The transcript has 3 exons. Lineage: Eukaryota; Metazoa; Chordata; Mammalia; Carnivora; Canidae.
AGGCAAGGGCACAAUGAGAAAAUGGCCAUCUAUAAAAUUGGAAGACAGCCUUCACCAGGAACCUGAGCAUGCUGGCACCCUGAACUCAAACUUCAGCCUCCAGAACUGAGUUACUAUGAUAUGCAUUAGACAUUAAUAUGCACAUUUGAAUGAGGAGUCAGGUUCCAAGUUACAAUAAAAACCACUUGUAAAGAAUUUUCUCUUGAAUUCAAAUCUUUAAACAGUCACAACAGAUUAAAUUAUUUUUUAAGGAAGUUAUUUAGGUAGCAUGUUCUAUCAUACUUGUAGCUCUACUCUUGGGUUGCCAGUGCUGCUGGGUUGCUUAAGAUGUUAACAUACUGACCUUAGGAGGAACAAGGACAUUCUGAUACUGUUGUGCCCAAUGGAACAAACCUAAUGGGAUCCAGGACUCUCUGUGGAUG